CUACGGGGUGCUGCAGUGGGGAAUAUUGCACAAUGGGCGCAAGCCUGAUGCAGCCAUGCCGCGUGUAUGAAGAAGGCCUUCGGGUUGUAAAGUACUUUCAGCGGGGAGGAAGGGAGUAAAGUUAAUACCUUUGCUCAUUGACGUUACCCGCAGAAGAAGCACCGGCUAACUCCGUGCCAGCAGCCGCGGUAAUACGGAGAGUGCAAGCGUUAAUCGGAAUUACUGGGCGUAAAGCGCACGCAGGCGGUUUGUCAAGUCAGAUGUGAAAUCCCCGGGCUCAACCUGGGAACUGCAUCUGAUACUGGCAAGCUUGAGUCUCGUAGAGGGGGGUAGAAUUCCAGGUGUAGCGGUGAAAUGCGUAGAGAUCUGGAGGAAUACCGGUGGCGAAGGCGGCCCCCUGGACGAAGACUGACGCCCAGGUGCGAAAGCGUGGGGAGCAAACAGGAUUAGAUACCCCAGUAGUC
RNAcentral lists this ribosomal RNA (464 nucleotides) under uncultured bacterium. RNAcentral's name for it is "partial 16S ribosomal RNA". It matches the Rfam family "Bacterial small subunit ribosomal RNA", at positions 339 to 795 of the family's 1533-position model. The record is from RNAcentral.